This 845-nucleotide ribosomal RNA is filed under the name uncultured Gammaproteobacteria bacterium. RNAcentral's name for it is "bacterial SSU rRNA". It matches the Rfam family "Bacterial small subunit ribosomal RNA", at positions 39 to 880 of the family's 1533-position model. Lineage: Bacteria; Pseudomonadati; Pseudomonadota; Gammaproteobacteria. The record is from RNAcentral.
GCGGUAGGCUUAACACAUGCAAGUCGAGCGAGAAAGUAUCUUCGGAUGCGAGUAUAGCGGCGGACGGGUGAGUAACGCGUAGGAAUCUACCUAGUAGAAGGGGAUAGCCCGAGGAAACUCGGAUUAAUACCGUAUACCUCCUUUGGGAGAAAGAGGGCCUCUCUUGAUGCUCUCGCUAUUAGAUGAGCCUGCGUAAGAUUAGCUUGUUGGUAAGGUAAUGGCUUACCAAGGCUACGAUCUUUAGCUGGUCUGAGAGGACGAUCAGCCACAUUGGGACUGAGACACGGCCCAGACUCCUACGGGAGGCAGCAGUGGGGAAUAUUGGACAAUGGGCGCAAGCCUGAUCCAGCCAUACCGCGUGUGUGAAGAAGGCCUUCGGGUUGUAAAGCACUUUAAGCAGGGAGAAAAAGUUAUAAGUUAAUACCUUAUAGCCGUGAUGUUACCUGCAGAAUAAGCACCGGCUAAUUCCGUGCCAGCAGCCGCGGUAAUACGGAAGGUGCAAGCGUUAAUCGGAAUUACUGGGCGUAAAGCGCGCGUAGGUGGUUUGUUAAGUUGGAUGUGAAAGCCCUGGGCUCAACCUAGGAACUGCAUCCAAAACUAACUCACUAGAGUACGAUAGAGGGAGGUAGAAUUCAUAGUGUAGCGGUGGAAUGCGUAGAUAUUAUGAAGAAUACCAGUGGCGAAGGCGGCCUCCUGGAUCUGUACUGACACUAAGGUGCGAAAGCGUGGGUAGCGAACAGGAUUAGAUACCCUGGUAGUCCACGCCGUAAACGAUGACAACUAGCUGUUGGAAGACAAUGUUUUUCAGUGGCGCAGCUAACGUUUUAAGUUGUCCGCCUGGGGAG